GGGCGAUUAACUCAGUGGCUAGAGUGCUACCUUCACACGGUAGAAGUCACUGGUUCGAGUCCAGUAUCGCCCA
Molecule: transfer RNA, 73 nt
Filed under: Bacteroidota bacterium
Lineage: Bacteria; Pseudomonadati; Bacteroidota
Also listed under: 2 other names
Description: Bacteroidetes bacterium tRNA-Val
Rfam family: tRNA
About the family: Transfer RNA (tRNA) molecules are approximately 80 nucleotides in length. Their secondary structure includes four short double-helical elements and three loops (D, anti-codon, and T loops). Further hydrogen bonds mediate the characteristic L-shaped molecular structure. tRNAs have two regions of fundamental functional importance: the anti-codon, which is responsible for specific mRNA codon recognition, and the 3' end, to which the tRNAs corresponding amino acid is attached (by aminoacyl-tRNA synthetases). tRNAs cope with the degeneracy of the genetic code in two manners: having more than one tRNA (with a specific anti-codon) for a particular amino acid; and 'wobble' base-pairing, i.e. permitting non-standard base-pairing at the 3rd anti-codon position.
Source: RNAcentral